RNAcentral lists this ribosomal RNA (374 nucleotides) under uncultured prokaryote. Its description in RNAcentral is "bacterial SSU rRNA". It matches the Rfam family "Bacterial small subunit ribosomal RNA", at positions 524 to 896 of the family's 1533-position model. The record is from RNAcentral.
UACGAAGGGUGCAAGCGUUGUUCGGAUUUAUUGGGCGUAAAGCGCGCGCAGGCGGGUGAUUAAGUCAGGUGUGAAAUCUCAGGGCUCAACCCUGAAACUGCGCCUGAAACUGGUUAUCUAGAAUAUCGGAGAGGGAAGGGGAAUUUCGCAUGUAGGGGUAAAAUCCGUAGAUAUGCGAAGGAAUACCAGAGGCGAAGGCGCCUUCCUGGACGAUUAUUGACGCUGAGGCGCGAAAGCGUGGGGAGCAAACAGGAUUAGAUACCCUGGUAGUCCACGCCGUAAACGAUGAGAACUAGAUAUUAUGGGAAUUGACCCCUGUAGUGUCGCAGCUAACGCAUUAAGUUCUCCGCCUGGGGAGUACGGUCGCAAGAUUA